Xiphophorus couchianus (Monterrey platyfish) is the source of this 2479-nucleotide long non-coding RNA. RefSeq lists it as uncharacterized. NCBI's taxonomy places the organism in Eukaryota, Metazoa, Chordata, Actinopteri, Cyprinodontiformes, Poeciliidae. The record is from RefSeq and is a predicted model, not a curated record. The transcript is spliced from 2 exons.
CAGAGGGCGCCAGAGACCAUCGCCAUGGUUAGGCGUGUCCGCACUGAAGCGCACCUGUGUUGCAUCAGAUCGUCAUUUCUAGGAUUCAAAAGGAGCAGACUGCCAGCACUUCAUUGCCUGAGUGUUUUGCCAGGAAUGGUGCUCCCUCGUGACUUCCUGAGAAGACUCCGUUCUGGUUUCUUGGAUUUCCCUACCUCGUGGAUAAUACCCACUGGUUGUCCGAGCUCCACCCUCACCCUCUCCGUCUGAUCCCAAGCAGACUCUUGAUAUCUCCAGCUGGCAGUCGGACCGCUUCUCCGUUUUUCCCACCACGCUCGAACUUACCUGUCCGCCCUCCAACGCAGUAUCCACGACUGGGUUCGAACCUUUCCUCUACCAUCUCUUUAGGACCUGGAUUUCUGUAAGGACCCACACUAGGAGACCUAAGCCCCGAACCUGCAGAGUCACCCCUCCUGGACGGACAAAGCCUCUACAACAAGUAAGACUGUUCUUAUUAACUUUGUAGUUCCACUCUCCGACUCCCCUCAAACACAUCACCUCCUCUAUCGUUCCGCAGUGAACAAGACGUCGCCGUGAGCCCGUUCCAGAUCUCCUUGUUUGCAAUAAAUAUCAUUUUACUGAUUUCUGUCCUGUGGUUGUUCUGCAUGUGGGUAAAGAAGUUAGACACCAACAUGACAGGGGCCUAAUUUAUUUACAUUUACGCCUACUUUCAUAACGUGCAAAAUAACAAUACACAUUUAACAGGAAAAUUAUACUAUUUCUAAAUAAAUCACAUUUGACUAUAUAGAAUCCAGUAAUAUCGGAUAUAAAACCUUUUUAGUAUUUAUGCUGCACAACUACAGUGGCUCCAAUGAAAGUGUUUUUUUGAUGGAAAUAUUCUUGCUCCAUCCUGAAAAGGAGCUCAUGUAUGCAGGUUGGAGUCAUUGAUCUGGCAUUUAUUUUUAGCAUAUCUGUCACCAUAGAGGCAAACCAUGCCUCCUCUUUGUGGGCUCUCUCCUCUCUAUGCUGGUCAAUGGCUUCCAGCCUCUGUCAAAUCAUCCUCCCUCCAUCAUCCUGUUUGCAUUCUUUUUUUCUGGUCAGAGCAGAACAGAGAGAUGGUUCUCUUGGGGCCUCAGACUCCAUGGAGCAGCCUGGCAGGGCUUUUUCCUGGGUGUCGGACUCACUGGCUGCUGGAGAUGGAUCCUUGGGUGGUGGUCUUGCUGGAGCAAGAAUUUGAGGUCACCCAAUUGGAACUACUACUGAAGUCCUAAUUUUGUACACAAUGUAGAAUAAUUGCAUAUUGAUGGCAGACCAUAAAUCAAAUCAAUGUAUUUUAUGAUUAAUUUUGAUUUAAUAAAAGCAAUUUAUUUUAUUUACUUUAUAAGGUAUGACAACUUUUGGAUAGUUAUUUAAAUUCUUAACCAUCUUAAAAUUGGCAAAUACUAACUUCAACAGGCACAUUAGUUUCCGUCUCCCGGCAUUUUACAACGUUGUCCAGCCAGGACAACAUAUAAAAAAUAGGUGGCACACCUCCCUUUGCUCCAUCCCCACUUUUGCCUCUCAUUUUUCUCUAAAUCUAUCCCUAAGGUACUUCCAUUUACUGCAACGAAAUGCCUCGUCCUUUCCAAGGGUCUGGGCUAUUUCAUUCCAUGAUUUCUUUUACUCUUUAGAAGUUUUUAUAUUUUCUCAAAGAUGUGUCAUAUAGUGAUAGAAUUAAAUAAUAGUAUAUAUAAAUACUCCUUAUCUUUAAGGACUGCUAGGCUCUUUGUUUCUAGAAUGUGUGCCUUUUACUGGUGAUGCAGGAAAGUGAUAAGUGUGCCAAAUUGGAAGCAGAUGCCAGCCACUCUGGAGCCAAAAUUGUGAGCUGACCAGACAGGAAACCCCCAAAGGCUAACCGUCAAAGUUUAUGACAGACACGAGAACUGUGCUUGAGACCUCGGAUGCAAAAAGACAGGAAACUUCAUUCUGUUAGAAAAGAUUUAUGACUGUGUAUUAGUGGCUGAUUUUUGCUCCUCCCCCUUCAAGCAGUCGCUAACAAAUCUUUGUAACUAGGGACCGCCCAAAAGAAAAGAAAAAUAAGAAUGCGAAAGAGCUUGCUUCAGAGCAAUAGAUUAUAAUUGAAGCAAGCUGCUAUUCGUGCUUCGCUCUUGAGUGUAAAAUCUAAAACACUCACCUCUCUUCUUUUCUGUGUCUGAUUGAAGUGCUUAGGUUAUUUGAAUUCUUGGACAUACUGACAUUUUCACAGAUUUUAUAUCUGAUUGUUUUGUAGAUAUUAAGACAUUUAAUUAUCCUAAUAUCAGAGUGUUAUCAGCUGUUAGUCUCCAAUUUGACUUUUGACCUUCUCUUUGCAGGAGUGGUUAGUGUCUCAGAAAUGAAUGCUGUGAUUGGUUGAAUGUGAUGGUGGGAGGAGGAACUGCUGGUGCUUUUAUAAAACAUAGAAACUUUAACUGGACCAAACCAUAGAAGUAAAAAACAUGAAGAUCCUCAGAGUGGAUCAGUA